Non-coding RNA from Biomphalaria pfeifferi, 474 nucleotides. Lineage: Eukaryota; Metazoa; Mollusca; Gastropoda; Planorbidae. The record is from the annotation of a GenBank genome assembly.
UCAAAGAUAAUUUUUUAUUCCACCUCCCUAUUAUUAGGCCCAAUUAGGGAAUUAGGGUUAGGCCUAGGCGCCACUAGGCUAAUCAAAAUUAUUUCUAAAUCUUUAAUUUAAUGAUUAAUCUGAGCCUACUCUAGACUAGAAAUAUAAUUUAUAUUUUAUACUUUUAUAGAUCUAUCAUGGCAUCUACUAGAAUGCUAGAUUCUAGAUCUAGAUCUAGUACUUAAGUUAAAGUUUAGUCUAAAGUCUAAAAUGACUAAAGACUAAAGUCUUAACUCUAAUUUUAAAGUAAUCUAAAAACUAAAGUGACUUAGUCUGUAUAGGCCUAGGGUGACUAGUCUAGCGUCUAGACUAAAGUCUAAAGUAACACUGACAAAUUUAAUAAUACACUAGACUAACCUAAUAGUAUAGGUACUAUAGGCUAAUAUAAUAAUGACUAAUAGUAAUAAACUAUAAUAUAGUAGACUAAAAAUAUUA